RNAcentral lists this long non-coding RNA (1075 nucleotides) under Mus spicilegus (steppe mouse). RNAcentral describes it as "lncRNA (ENSMSIG00000028509.1)". The record is from RNAcentral. Lineage: Eukaryota; Metazoa; Chordata; Mammalia; Rodentia; Muridae.
CCCAGCUACUGGGAUCUCUUAACCCAACUAUGGAUUUGAAGUGGCUACAAUCCAGCUCACAUCUUCCCGUCUUCCUGGCUCAGCUUACUCAAGUCCUGUCUCCAGAGUUGUUACAAGCCACUCCUCCUAGUCACUGAAAAAUCCAAGAGGCUUCUAGACCUGAAGCUGCUGCUCCUAAUUUUUGUCCAGCCUUCAGACACCCCAGGUCUCAGCGCAGACAGCCUCUUGGAAGUCAUCCCCUCUUCACUUCACAGAAAAACUAAGACAAACCAAGGCAGGAAGCUGGCCUAUGGGGUGAUGGAACCUUUGGGGAAAGAGACCUCCAGGCCCUCAGGCUACUCUGCUGGCUCCCACAACUGCCACCUUGGGACCAAGGCAAAUCUGACAUUCCGACUACCCCGCCCUGCUGCACCACAAGAGGAUGUUCGAGCCUGACAUUGUAAGCCAGAACAAAAACCUGUGCCUGGGAGGUCAUAGGUCCCAUUAGGGAAGCAACUUCUGUGAUUUUCUUUUUUCCAGAUGGAUGCGAUAUGCCGCCAAACUGCCUUCUAAACAUGUGUUUAUGCCUACGUCAUCAGCUUCGUGACUGGGUAAAGCGUCUGACAACACGUGGCUGUUACUGUGGCACUACGGCCCAUCUCUUAGCCCUAAGUGGACACCUAUAGUCAACCCCUCCAAGGCUCAGAAAUCAUUGCAGAAGACAGAGGCAGGAGGAAUAUAAGAGCUGGACAACUCAAAAUCGCUCCAGGAAGUCCCUGAAACUGAGCAGAUGCACUAGGUCCCUCCCUGCCAGAGUAAACAGUGAGCUGAGAGCCCUUCUCUGAUGGAAGGAAGCUGAGCUGUGGAAACCUGCCCAGCUGCCUAGAAGAGGUUUAGAUCAACUGAAGCACCUAGAAAGGACACUCUCCAACCUACUGAGUUGUCUGCAGGCUGUGCCCCAGGUUCCCAGCAUUGUGAGCUGUUACCCAUGCUAGGGUUGGUUUUGGUGAUGCAGCUGUCUGAGUCCUUUCUGCUCCUGUGAGUAACUCACCCAUGUUACUUUACCACAAUUCCAAUAAAACUCAUUGGUUCACCA